UACGUAGGGUGCUAGCGUUGUUCGGAAUCAUUGGGCGUAAAGCGCGUGUAGGUGGUUAAUAAAGUUGGAUGUGAAAUCCCCGGGCUCAACCUGGGAACUGCAUUUGUGACUGCAUCGCUGGAGUGCGGCAGAGGGGGAUGGAAUUCCGCGUGUAGCAGUGAAAUGCGUAGAUAUGCGGAGGAACACCGAUGGCGAAGGCAAUCCCCUGGGCCUGCACUGACGCUCAUGCACGAAAGCGUGGGGAGCAAACAGG
Molecule: ribosomal RNA, 253 nt
Filed under: uncultured bacterium
Lineage: Bacteria
Description: partial 16S ribosomal RNA
Rfam family: Bacterial small subunit ribosomal RNA
Source: RNAcentral